RNAcentral lists this non-coding RNA (24 nucleotides) under Arabidopsis thaliana (thale cress). The record is from RNAcentral. Lineage: Eukaryota; Viridiplantae; Streptophyta; Magnoliopsida; Brassicales; Brassicaceae.
AGACCUGAUACUCGACCACCCAGU